RNAcentral lists this ribosomal RNA (429 nucleotides) under Fusobacteriota bacterium. Its description in RNAcentral is "Fusobacteria bacterium partial 16S ribosomal RNA". It matches the Rfam family "Bacterial small subunit ribosomal RNA", at positions 355 to 776 of the family's 1533-position model. The record is from RNAcentral. Lineage: Bacteria; Fusobacteriati; Fusobacteriota.
UGGGGAAUCUUCCGCAAUGGACGAAAGUCUGACGGAGCAACGCCGCGUGAGUGAAGACGGCCUUCGGGUUGUAAAGCUCUGUGAUCCGGGACGAAAGAGCCUGAGGUGAAUAGCCUAAGGAAGUGACGGUACCGGCAAAGCAAGCCACGGCUAACUACGUGCCAGCAGCCGCGGUAAUACGUAGGUGGCAAGCGUUGUCCGGAAUUAUUGGGCGUAAAGCGCGCGCAGGCGGCUUCCUAAGUCCAUCUUAAAAGUGCGGGGCUUAACCCCGUGAUGGGAUGGAAACUGGGAAGCUGGAGUAUCGGAGAGGAAAGUGGAAUUCCUAGUGUAGCGGUGAAAUGCGUAGAGAUUAGGAAGAACACCGGUGGCGAAGGCGACUUUCUGGACGAAAACUGACGCUGAGGCGCGAAAGCGUGGGGAGCAAACAGG